CCCGGCUGGAGGAGGAGUUUAGCAUGCUGCAGCAGAAGGUGGAGGUCCUGAAGGAGCUGUCCCACCAGAAGGAGCUGGAGCUGCAGAAGAUACCGAGUCAGGUGGAAUGUGCACAGCAGCAGCCAGAGCAGGCGCUGUCGGCUGUGGAUGAGAAGGUGGUGCCGGCCACAGAGGCGGUGAAAAUCUACAAGUGAGUGUG
RNAcentral lists this long non-coding RNA (199 nucleotides) under Cavia porcellus (domestic guinea pig). RNAcentral's name for it is "lncRNA (ENSCPOG00000031486.1)". The record is from RNAcentral. Lineage: Eukaryota; Metazoa; Chordata; Mammalia; Rodentia; Caviidae.